Pelobates cultripes (western spadefoot toad) is the source of this 266-nucleotide non-coding RNA. Lineage: Eukaryota; Metazoa; Chordata; Amphibia; Anura; Pelobatidae. The record is from the annotation of a GenBank genome assembly.
AUUUAAACAACAAAUUUUGUUCACUAUCUAAUUUGUGUAAACAACAAAUUUGCUUGGGUUGUGAGGUUUCCUCAUUACAGAACUAUUUAAAUAAAUCUAUGAUCCCUAGAGGUCUUUGAGUCCAAGUUGCUCCUAACACUCAGAUGGACGAUCCCUCUUUGCUACAAGAAUGGGAGGAGGCGGCUAAUGUCUGCUCCAGAUAAUUUAUGGACAUCAUCUGCAGAUUUGAGUCCCAGAGGCAAAUAUCAGACUACUAUUAAGAGUAG